UGGGGAAUAUUGCACAAUGGGCGCAAGCCUGAUGCAGCCAUGCCGCGUGUAUGAAGAAGGCCUUAGGGUUGUAAAGUACUUUCAGCGGGGAGGAAGGUGAUAAGGUUAAUACCCUUGUCAAUUGACGUUACCCGCAGAAGAAGCACCGGCUAACUCCGUGCCAGCAGACGAGGUAAUACGGAGGGUGCAAGCGUUAAUCGGAAUUACUGGGCGUAAAGCGCACGCAGGCGGUCAAUUAAGUCAGAUGUGAAAGCCCCGAGCUUAACUUGGGAAUUGCAUCUGAAACUGGUUGGCUAGAGUCUUGUAGAGGGGGGUAGAAUGCCAUGUGUAGCGGUGAAAUGCGUAGAGAUGUGGAGGAAUACCGGUGGCGAAGGCGGCCCCCUGGACAAAGACUGACGCUCAGGUGCGAAAGCGUGGGGAGCAAACA
This 427-nucleotide ribosomal RNA is filed under the name uncultured bacterium. RNAcentral's name for it is "partial 16S ribosomal RNA". It matches the Rfam family "Bacterial small subunit ribosomal RNA", at positions 355 to 774 of the family's 1533-position model. The record is from RNAcentral.